RNAcentral lists this ribosomal RNA (303 nucleotides) under uncultured bacterium. RNAcentral's name for it is "partial 16S ribosomal RNA". It matches the Rfam family "Bacterial small subunit ribosomal RNA", at positions 507 to 807 of the family's 1533-position model. The record is from RNAcentral.
AGCAGUAGCCGCGGUAAUACGUAGGGUGCGAGCGUUAAUCGGAAUUACUGGGCGUAAAGCGUGCGCAGGCGGUUUUGUAAGACAGGCGUGAAAUCCCCGGGCUCAACCUGGGAAUGGCGCUUGUGACUGCAAAGCUAGAGUGCGGCAGAGGGGGAUGGAAUUCCGCGUGUAGCAGUGAAAUGCGUAGAUAUGCGGAGGAACACCGAUGGCGAAGGCAAUCCCCUGGGCCUGCACUGACGCUCAUGCACGAAAGCGUGGGGAGCAAACAGGAUUAGAUACCCCGGUAGUCCCUGUCUCUUAUAC